GUCGAGCGGAACGAUCCUAGCUUGCUAGGAGGCGUCGAGCGGCGGACGGGUGAGUAAUGCAUAGGAAUCUACCCAGUCGUGGGGGAUAACCUGAGGAAACUCAGGCUAAUACCGCAUACGUCCUACGGGAGAAAGCGGGGGCUCUUCGGACCUCGCGCGAUUGGAUGAGCCUAUGUCGGAUUAGCUUGUUGGUAAGGUAACGGCUUACCAAGGCGACGAUCCGUAGCUGGUCUGAGAGGAUGAUCAGCCACACCGGGACUGAGACACGGCCCGGACUCCUACGGGAGGCAGCAGUGGGGAAUAUUGGACAAUGGGCGAAAGCCUGAUCCAGCCAUGCCGCGUGUGUGAAGAAGGCUUUCGGGUUGUAAAGCACUUUCAGCGAGGAAGAAAGCGUGCCGGCCAAUACCCGGUACGGACGACAUCACUCGCAGAAGAAGCACCGGCUAACUCCGUGCCAGCAGCCGCGGUAAUACGGAGGGUGCAAGCGUUAAUCGGAAUUACUGGGCGUAAAGCGCGCGUAGGCGGCGUGUCACGCCGGGUGUGAAAGCCCCGGGCUCAACCUGGGAACGGCAUCCGGAACGGGCAGGCUAGAGUGCAGGAGAGGAAGGUAGAAUUCCCGGUGUAGCGGUGAAAUGCGUAGAGAUCGGGAGGAAUACCAGUGGCGAAGGCGGCCUUCUGGACUGACACUGACGCUGAGGUGCGAAAGCGUGGGUAGCAAACAGGAUUAGAUACCCUGGUAGUCCACGCCGUAAACGAUGUCGACUAGCCGUUGGGUCCCUUGAGGACUUAGUGGCGCAGUU
Molecule: ribosomal RNA, 800 nt
Filed under: Chromohalobacter sp. K109
Lineage: Bacteria; Pseudomonadati; Pseudomonadota; Gammaproteobacteria; Oceanospirillales; Halomonadaceae
Also listed under: 1 other name
Description: bacterial SSU rRNA
Rfam family: Bacterial small subunit ribosomal RNA
Source: RNAcentral